RNAcentral lists this transfer RNA (84 nucleotides) under Patescibacteria group bacterium. Its description in RNAcentral is "tRNA-Leu". It matches the Rfam family "tRNA". From Rfam's summary of the family: Transfer RNA (tRNA) molecules are approximately 80 nucleotides in length. Their secondary structure includes four short double-helical elements and three loops (D, anti-codon, and T loops). Further hydrogen bonds mediate the characteristic L-shaped molecular structure. tRNAs have two regions of fundamental functional importance: the anti-codon, which is responsible for specific mRNA codon recognition, and the 3' end, to which the tRNAs corresponding amino acid is attached (by aminoacyl-tRNA synthetases). tRNAs cope with the degeneracy of the genetic code in two manners: having more than one tRNA (with a specific anti-codon) for a particular amino acid; and 'wobble' base-pairing, i.e. permitting non-standard base-pairing at the 3rd anti-codon position. The record is from RNAcentral.
GCCGUGGUGGCGGAACUGGUAUACGCGCAUGACUUAAAAUCAUGUGAGAGCAAUCUCAUGUGGGUUCGACUCCCACCCGCGGCA